AAAUUGAAGAGUUUGAUCAUGGCUCAGAUUGAACGCUGGCGGCAGGCCUAACACAUGCAAGUCGAACGGUAACAGGAAUCAGCUUGCUGAUUUGCUGACGAGUGGCGGACGGGUGAGUAAUGUCUGGGAAACUGCCUGAUGGAGGGGGAUAACUACUGGAAACGGUAGCUAAUACCGCAUAACGUCGCAAGACCAAAGAGGGGGACCUUCGGGCCUC
RNAcentral lists this ribosomal RNA (217 nucleotides) under Escherichia coli. RNAcentral's name for it is "partial 16S ribosomal RNA". It matches the Rfam family "Bacterial small subunit ribosomal RNA", at positions 1 to 216 of the family's 1533-position model. The record is from RNAcentral. Lineage: Bacteria; Pseudomonadati; Pseudomonadota; Gammaproteobacteria; Enterobacterales; Enterobacteriaceae.